Molecule: unclassified non-coding RNA, 315 nt
Filed under: Hevea brasiliensis (rubber tree)
Lineage: Eukaryota; Viridiplantae; Streptophyta; Magnoliopsida; Malpighiales; Euphorbiaceae
Source: RNAcentral
GUAGCUGCAUUUGAUUUGAGAUCAGCAUCACUGCAUCUUUCUCAGUAUAUAGAGACUAGCAGCUCCUAUCAAAAUACAAAGACUUUACUACAGUUCUAUGAACCUAUGGUGAUAAUUGUUUCCCCCAAUAAACUGGCGGCGGAUGGAAUGGUCGGAGUCUCACAACUGGCAGACAGAGUUUGUUCCUCCACAAAAAAGGUUAUAAUGGCCCGUGGUUGCUUUGAUGAUACCAGGGGAGCUGUACUGGUUAAAGGUUUAGCUGCUAAGGAACCGUCUGCUCUUGGUCUGGAUUCAUACUACAAGCAAUACUAUUUG